GUGAGUUUAGGUACCAGAGAUGCAAAUUUGCGAAAACUGUAAUGUAGAUACAGUUGUCCUGGAGAAAGACUCCACAAUAUAUAGGUUAUUUUGUAUAUUUCCUGGUUUCACUGAGCUAUCUGAAUCUCUUAAAAGCAUAUCAACCUUUAUUCCUCCACUAGAGUUUUAAUUUAUUUCUCCAUUUUCUUUGGAACACGGGAUAUCCUCUGCUUACUACUCAAUUCGUUCUUGUGAACAAUAUCCAGAUGAAAAGCUUGACAGCAUACAACUUUGGUGGGCUGGAAAAGAGCUUGCUAUGGAUAAGAAGCUAUCCGACCAUAUUUGUGUGAAUGACAAAACAAAGAUUGUCAUCAGGCUAAGCCUCCCAAUGAGCCCUUAGUGUGGUCCUGUAUUGCAUAGUAGUGAUUUUUUUGGCAAUUUAUGCAAAUUAUGCGCAUGUACGAUAUUUUUCAUUUUCAUGAGAAAUCAGGCAAGCAUCCUCUCAGCUGUAUGUACCAAUUGACUACCUGUAUCAACAGCUUAAAACCAUGAAUGUAUAAUUAUUUAGUGAUUCCAAUAGUACAAUAUUCAAGUUAUUUGUGGGCAUCAAGUUGUGACUGCGACACUGAGCAUGAUUCAACUCUGUAUAUGCAAUAAGACUAGCUGAGAGAGAAGAUCGCGUUUCCAGCUAAAUGAUCAUCACUUGUAUGAUUUUUUUUUCAAGCUGAGAGUAUGGAAUUAGAUGGUAAACUCAUAUCUGCAAAUUGCUUGCUAUUCAGAAUGGUGCCAUGAUUAGAUUUUGUCUGCGUCCAGAAAAAGUAGUACAACUUAUCUACCAUUGCAGCAGCUGCCUACAGGAGGGGGGAUCCCUGAACAUGCCUGCAUUAUUUAUCUUCAAUCUAGUUCAACUUUUGCUCUUGUAUUUAGCUUGCUUGUGCUCAUGUGCAUGUCUCUUGAGUUCCAUUGAACAAUCACGCUCUGAGCAGGAAAAAGUGAAGCAUUUUUGGGCAUCUAGGUUUCUUAUCAGUGAUAGACUAUGUACCAUAUCCCAGGAAUGUUGCAGGCAUCCUAAGCAGGUGCUUUUGAUCCCUUUCGUAGUUCAUGAUAGCAUAUUUGAGUGCAUUUUGCUUAAUAUUUGUUACAUGUGUUAUUGAAAAUAUGUGUGUUUUUGUCGAAGGGGAAACAUAACGUGUCUUACUCCCAUGGUUUAUUUAUUUCAAAAUAUCUAUGGUUCUGUGGAAUCAAUUCUGGAUCUGGAAACCAGAGAGUAUGUGCAUUGCUGCAAUCAUGGAGCUGUCCAUUGUGAAAUUGUACACGUGACAUAUGGCCGGUGCCUGUCUGAAUGCAACCAGAGGAGUCAGGAAUCAGGCAAUGUUACUCAUUGGAAACCAGCACUGUUCAGCAACCGGCCAAAGGUGUGGGGAAGAUGACGCCUCUCUGUCCACAGGUACAGGUACGUCAUAACAAAUUCGUGUCCCCUCGCGCUCUAAGGGAACGUAAUACAGCUGCUAAUGCUCUACAAGAGACUUCGGAGGCCUUCUCUGUCUGCAACAUCCAAAAUCAGAUGAAAAGUGUGACGGCAUACAACUUCGGUGGGCUCGAAAAGAGCUAGCCAUGGACAAGAAGCUAUCUUGCUAUGUUGGUGUUAAUGACAAAACAAAGAUUGUUGUGAGGCUAAACCUUCACAUGAGCCUUUACUGUGGUCCUGUCCAUUGUUGAUAUUCUAUAGUAGCGAAUUUUAUUUCAGUAUACAUGUUUUUGCAAAUUAUCUGCAUGCAAGGUGUUUUCCAUUUUUCAUGUGAAAGCAAGCAAGCAUCAUCCUCAGCUUUAUGUACCAAUCGACAACAUGUAUCAACAGAUUAAAGCUAUGAAUGUAUAAUCAUUUGGUGCUUCCUAGUGUACUGUUCAAGGUAUUUGUGAGUGAGAAACUCGAGCAUGAUGCAACUCUGUAUGUGCAUUAAGACUAGCUAGACACACUCAUACUC
Molecule: long non-coding RNA, 1964 nt
Organism: Triticum aestivum (bread wheat)
Lineage: Eukaryota; Viridiplantae; Streptophyta; Magnoliopsida; Poales; Poaceae
Exons: 6
Source: RefSeq, a predicted model, not a curated record